This 593-nucleotide long non-coding RNA is filed under the name Equus asinus (donkey). Its description in RNAcentral is "lncRNA (ENSEASG00005035569.1)". The record is from RNAcentral. Lineage: Eukaryota; Metazoa; Chordata; Mammalia; Perissodactyla; Equidae.
CUCUGUCCCUCCCGCCCGUCCCAGAGCGCAGCCCGGCGGGAUCCAGCCCUGUGGCCGGAGCCAGGUCCGCAGCGCGUCGCGGAUGAAGAAAACUGAGGCUACAGUAACAUGCUCAGAAUCAUAAAUGGUUGAGCCCUGAUCAGAACCCAGGAACUGGUGACAGUGAAGGAUGAGGAAAUGGAUUUUGCCCAUGUGGAGGUGGACCAGCUGAAUUCUGCCCAGAGGAACAUGGGCCUGGAUCUGAAGGUGGAGAAUUGUGGAAGCCUGGUAUUUUGGGGCGGUGAGGUCCUGGAGGACACGGGCCGCGUGAGGGCUUUCAGAACCGCCCCCAGGCUCACACCGCGCCUUCCCAGAGUGAGCGCAGGCCCACAGCAGCUGAAAGAAGGGGAUGACCUCAGAGCCCCCUUCCGCCUCUGAGCACCUCCCAUCGUGGCCAUGGGCGCCAAUCAUGAAAGGUACCUGUUGCUUUGGCCAGGGGAAGCCCCAGAAGGACCGCUGAGUGUGCCUUCCCUCUUCCAGUUACUCCUCUGAGCACGAGCACGAGUGGCCACCAAGCCCCUGGUGGUCAGGCCCAGCAUUGCAGCAACAGGCGG